RNAcentral lists this ribosomal RNA (468 nucleotides) under uncultured bacterium. RNAcentral describes it as "partial 16S ribosomal RNA". It matches the Rfam family "Bacterial small subunit ribosomal RNA", at positions 28 to 507 of the family's 1533-position model. The record is from RNAcentral.
GACGAACGCUGGCGGCGUGCUUAACACAUGCAAGUCGAACGGAAAGGCCCUGCUUUUGUGGGGUGCUCGAGUGGCGAACGGGUGAGUAACACGUGAGUAACCUGCCCUUGACUUUGGGAUAAAUUCAGGAAACUGGGGCUAAUACCGGAUAGGAGCUCCUGCUGCAUGGUGGGGGUUGGAAAGUUUCGGCGGUUGGGGAUGGACUCGCGGCUUAUCAGCUUGUUGGUGAGGUAGUGGCUUACCAAGGCUUUGACGGGUAGCCGGCCUGGGAGGGUGACCGGCCACAUUGGGAUUGAGGUACGGCCCAGACUCCUACGGGAGGCAGCAGUGGGAAAUAUAGCGCGAUGGGCGGAGGCAGGAUGCAGCAACGCCGCGUGCGGGAUGACGGCCUUCGGGUUGUAAACCGCUUUCGCCUGUGACGAAGCGUGAGUGACGGUAAUGGGUAAGGAAGCACCGGCUAACUACGUG